Molecule: ribosomal RNA, 253 nt
Filed under: uncultured bacterium
Lineage: Bacteria
Description: partial 16S ribosomal RNA
Rfam family: Bacterial small subunit ribosomal RNA
Source: RNAcentral
UACGUAGGUCCCGAGCGUUGUCCGGAUUUACUGGGCGUAAAGGGAGCGUAGGCGGACUUUUAAGUGAGAUGUGAAAUACUCGGGCUCAACUUGAGUGCUGCAUUUCAAACUGGAAGUCUAGAGUGCAGGAGAGGAGAAUGGAAUUCCUAGUGUAGCGGUGAAAUGCGUAGAGAUUAGGAAGAACACCAGUGGCGAAGGCGAUUCUCUGGACUGUAACUGACGCUGAGGCUCGAAAGCGUGGGGAGCAAACAGG